Molecule: ribosomal RNA, 571 nt
Filed under: Candidatus Moraniibacteriota bacterium
Lineage: Bacteria; Candidatus Moraniibacteriota
Description: bacterial SSU rRNA
Rfam family: Bacterial small subunit ribosomal RNA
Source: RNAcentral
CUUAUUGAGAGUUUGAUCCUGGCUCAGGAUGAACGCUGGCGGCGUGGAUAAGGCAUGCAAGUCACGGGGGCUCUUCGGAGCAACCGGCAAACGGGUUAGUAAUACAUAGGAAUCUACCGAGAAGUUUGGCAUAGCUUUCCGAAAGGGAAGGUAAUUCCAAAUGGCCUCAAUGAGCAAUUAUUGAGUAAAGGCAAUAGCAAUAUUGCCGCUUCUUGAGGAGCCUGUGUCCUAUCAGCUUGUUGGUGAGGUAAUGGCUCACCAAGGCUAUGACGGGUAGGGGAUGUGAGAGCAUGAUCCCCAACAUUGGGACUGAGACACUGCCCAAACACCUACGGGUGGCUGCAGUCGAGAAUCUUCGGCAAUGGGCGAAAGCCUGACCGAGCGACGCCGCGUGGAGGAUGAAGGCCUUCGCGUUGUAAACUCCUUUUCUCACAGAAAAAGAAAUAUCACUUGUGGUAUUUUUGAUGGUAUGUGAGGAAUAAGAGGUUGCUAACUCUGAGCCAGCAGCAGCGGUAAUACAGAGACCUCAAGCGUUAUCCGGAUUUAUUGGGCGUAAAGCGUGUGUAGGCGG